CUGCCACCACCAUGCUUCACUGUAGGGAUGGUGCCAGGUUUCCUCCAGACGUGAUGCUGCCACCACCAUGCUUCACUGUAGGGAUGGUGCCAGGUUUCCUCCAGACGUGAUGCUGCCACCACCAUGCUUCACUGUAGGGAUGGUGCCAGGUUUCCUCCAGACGUGAUGCUGCCACCACCAUGCUUCACUGUAGGGAUGGAGCCAGGUUUCCUCCAGACGUGAUGCUGCCACCACCAUGCUUCACUGUAGGGAUGGUGCCAGGUUUCCUCCAGACGUGAUGCUGCCACCACCAUGCUUCACUGUAGGGAUGGUGCCAGGUUUCCUCCAGACGUGACGCUGCCACCACCAUGCUUCACUGUAGGGAUGGUGCCAGGUUUCCUCCAGACGUGAUGCUGCCACCACCAUGCUUCACUGUAGGGAUGGAGCCAGGUUUCCUCCAGACGUGACGCUGCCACCACCAUGCUUCACUGUAGGGAUGGAGCCAGGUUUCCUCCAGACGUGAUGCUGCCACCACCAUGCUUCACUGUAGGGAUGGAGCCAGGUUUCCUCCAGACGUGAUGCUGCC
Oncorhynchus keta (chum salmon) is the source of this 565-nucleotide long non-coding RNA. RefSeq lists it as uncharacterized. The transcript is spliced from 3 exons. NCBI's taxonomy places the organism in Eukaryota, Metazoa, Chordata, Actinopteri, Salmoniformes, Salmonidae. The record is from RefSeq and is a predicted model, not a curated record.